RNA transcript from Hevea brasiliensis (rubber tree), 1094 nucleotides. It is a transcript of the gene named ABC transporter I family member 10, with no coding region annotated. Lineage: Eukaryota; Viridiplantae; Streptophyta; Magnoliopsida; Malpighiales; Euphorbiaceae. The record is from RefSeq and is a predicted model, not a curated record. The transcript is spliced from 8 exons.
UUUUUUUUUUUUUUAAGUCAAGCUCCCUCAUAAUCUCAUAUGAGAGAAUGAGACAACACAAAUAAUACUGAGCAUCUGCGAAUGGAUCUCUCUACCGUGUUUGGCGUUUCUACUCGUAUUCCCUGUCUUCAUUCCUCUCCUCGCGCUAGGAGUAAUAUUACUGAGAAUGUUGCCAUUGAAGGAAGGAAUCUCAGUUUCUCAUUCGCAACAAGGCAAGGGAAAUUUUUUCCCAUUCUGAAGGACUGCUCCCUACGGGUUCCCUCUGGACAACUUUGGAUGCUUCUCGGUCCCAAUGGUUGUGGAAAGUCCACCCUUUUGAAGAUUUUGGCUGGUCUUUUACAGCCAACCAGUGGAACGUUGUAUGUGACAAGGCCUAAAAGCUUUGUUUUCCAAAAUCCGGACCAUCAGGUUGUGAUGCCUACAGUAGAAGCUGAUGUGGCAUUUGGCCUUGGUAAGUUCAUCCUGACUGAGGAUGAAGUUAGGCAAAGAGUGUCAAAAGCUCUGGAUGAUGUGGGCAUGUCUACCUACAUGCAAAGGCCUGUUCAAACUCUGAGUGGUGGUCAAAAACAAAGGGUUGCCAUUGCUGGUGCUCUAGCUGAAGCAUGCAAGGUGCUUUUGUUGGAUGAGCUCACAACAUUCUUGGACCAAAAUGAUCAGAUUGGGGUGAUUAAAGCAGUCAAGAACUCCUUGGUUGCAUCUGAUGAAAUUACAGCUUUAUGGGUGACCCAUCGAUUGGAAGAACUCAAGUAUGCUGAUGGAGCUUUUUAUAUGGAAAAUGGAAGAGUGGUGAAGGUCGGUGAUGGAUCAAGCAUAAUGGAUUUCAUCAACGCCAGUUGAAAAGGAUAUUGAGAAGCAUAAGGAACACUGAGUCAGGGCCAAGAGGCAUUUAUCAGAGGUAGACAGACGGACAGAGCAGUAGAGUAGGCUGCUUGUACCACAUUUUGAGAUUCCGCCGGGUAUAUCGAGUAUACCAUAUUGUGUAGUUUUGUUGUAAUGUAUGUACACUGUAUGUAUAUAUUGUACUGAGUUUUGAGCAAUUGUAAACUAAAAUUGUAAAUUAUUUUGGCUUGUAAAAAUAUUGUAGUAUAUUUAUC